This 497-nucleotide ribosomal RNA is filed under the name uncultured bacterium. RNAcentral's name for it is "partial 16S ribosomal RNA". It matches the Rfam family "Bacterial small subunit ribosomal RNA", at positions 28 to 507 of the family's 1533-position model. The record is from RNAcentral.
GACGAACGCUGGCGGCGUGCCUAAUACAUGCAAGUUGAGCGCUGAAGGUUGGUACUUGUACCGACUGGAUGAGCAGCGAACGGGUGAGUAACGCGUGGGGCAUCUGCCUUUGAUCGGGGGACAACAUUUGGAAACGAAUGCUAAUACCACAUAAAAACUUUAAACACAAGUUUUAAGUUUGAAAGAUGCAAUUGCAUCACUCAAAGAUGAUCCCGCGUUGUAUUAGCUAGUUGGUGAGGUAAAGGCUCACCAAGGCGAUGCUACCUAGCCGACCUGAGAGGGUGAGCGGCCACAUUGGGAGUGAGACACGGCCCAAACGCAUACGGGAGGCAGCAGUAGGGAAUCGUCGGGCAGGGACGAAAGUCUGACCGAGAAACGCCGCGGGAGUGAAGAAGGGUGUCGGAUCGUAAAACUCUGUUGGUAGAGAAGAAAGUGGGUGAGAGUGGAAAGCACAUCAAGUGACGGUAACUACCCAGAAAGGGACGGCUAACUACGUG